UACAUGUGGGGCAAGCGUUGUUCGGAAUUACUGGGCAUAAAGGGUGCGUAGGCGGCUUGUUAAGUCAGGGGUGAAAGUUUUCGGCCCAACCGGAAAAUUGCCUUUGAUACUGGCGAGCUCGAGUGCGUGAGGGGUAACCGGAACGAGCAGUGUAGCGGUGAAAUGCGUAGAUAUUGCUCGGAAGGCCAACGGCGAAGGCAGGUUACUGGUACGCAACUGACGCUGAGGCACGAAAGCGUGGGGAGCGAACAGG
This 253-nucleotide ribosomal RNA is filed under the name uncultured bacterium. RNAcentral describes it as "partial 16S ribosomal RNA". It matches the Rfam family "Bacterial small subunit ribosomal RNA", at positions 524 to 776 of the family's 1533-position model. The record is from RNAcentral.